UGAGGAAUAUUGGUCAAUGGGCGAGAGCCUGAACCAGCCAAGUCGCGUGAGGGAAGACGGCCCUACGGGUUGUAAACCUCUUUUGUCAGGGAGCAAGAACAGGCACGUGUGCCUGACUGAGAGUACCUGAAGAAAAAGCAUCGGCUAACUCCGUGCCAGCAGCCGCGGUAAUACGGAGGAUGCGAGCGUUAUCCGGAUUUAUUGGGUUUAAAGGGUGCGUAGGCGGACUGCCAAGUCAGCGGUAAAAUAGCGGGGCUCAACCCCGUCGAGCCGUUGAAACUGGUGGUCUUGAGUGGGCGAGAAGUACGCGGAAUGUGUGGUGUAGCGGUGAAAUGCAUAGAUAUCACGCAGAACUCCGAUUGCGAAGGCAGCGUACCGGCGCCCGACUGACGCUGAAGCACGAAAGCGUGGGUAUCGAACAGGAUUAGAUACCCUGGUAGUCCACGCAGUAAACGAUGAAUGCUAGCUGUCCGGGACGAAUGAGUCCUGGGUGGCACAGCGAAAGCGUUAAGCAUUCCACCUGGGGAGUACGCCGGCAACGGUGAAACUCAAAGGAAUUGACGGGGGCCCGCACAAGCGGAGGAACAUGUGGUUUAAUUCGAUGAUACGCGAGGAACCUUACCCGGGCUCAAACGCACUACGAAUGAUGCUGAAAGGUGUCAGCCAGCAAUGGCGUAGUGCGAGGUGCUGCAUGGUUGUCGUCAGCUCGUGCCGUGAGGUGUCGGCUUAAGUGCCAUAACGAGCGCAACCCCUACCGACAGUUGCUAACUGGUCAAGCAGAGGACUCUGUCGGGACUGCCGGCGCAAGCUGUGAGGAAGGCGGGGAUGACGUCAAAUCAGCACGGCCCUUACGUCCGGGGCGACACACGUGUUACAAUGGCAGGUACAGCGGGAAGCCACCUGGCGACAGGGAGCGGAACCCGAAAACCUGUCUCAGUUCGGAUUGGAGUCUGCAACCCGACUCCAUGAAGCUGGAUUCGCUAGUAAUCGCGCAUCAGCCAUGGCGCGGUGAAUACGUUCCC
Molecule: ribosomal RNA, 1022 nt
Filed under: uncultured bacterium
Lineage: Bacteria
Description: bacterial SSU rRNA
Rfam family: Bacterial small subunit ribosomal RNA
Source: RNAcentral